Molecule: ribosomal RNA, 555 nt
Filed under: uncultured archaeon
Lineage: Archaea
Description: bacterial SSU rRNA
Rfam family: Archaeal small subunit ribosomal RNA
Source: RNAcentral
CCCUACGGGGUGCAGCAGGCGCGAAACCUUUACAAUGCACGAGAGUGUGAUAAGGGGACCCAGAGUGCUUAGCUUAGCUAGGCUUUUGCCAAGAGUAAAUAUCUUGGAGAAUAAGUGGUGGGCAAGACUGGUGCCAGCCGCCGCGGUAAUACCAGCGCCACGAGUGGGAACUAUUAUUAUUGGGCCUAAAGCGUCCGUAGCCUGUUUAAUAAAUUUCUUGUGAAAUUGUUAAGCUCAACUUAACAACGUGCAGGAAAGACUGUUAAACUCGGGACUGGGAGGAGUUAGAAGUAUCUUUAGGGUAGCGGUAAAAUGUUAUAAUCCUGAAGAGACUACCAAUGGCGAAGGCAUCUAACCAGAACAGGUCCGACGGUGAGGGACGAAAGCCAGGGGAGCAAACCGGAUUAGAUACCCGAGUAGUCCUGGCCGUAAACGCUGCGAGCAAGAUGUUGCAUAUUCUUCGUGAAUAUGCAGUAUCGAAGAGAAGUCGUUAAGCUCGCCGCCUGGGAAGUAUGGUCGCAAGACUGAAACUUAAAGGAAUUGGCGGGGGAGCAC